This 31-nucleotide non-coding RNA is filed under the name Mus musculus (house mouse). Lineage: Eukaryota; Metazoa; Chordata; Mammalia; Rodentia; Muridae. The record is from RNAcentral.
UUGGAAACAAAAAGAUAAAGCAACAGGGUGU